RNAcentral lists this ribosomal RNA (505 nucleotides) under uncultured bacterium. Its description in RNAcentral is "partial 16S ribosomal RNA". It matches the Rfam family "Bacterial small subunit ribosomal RNA", at positions 28 to 507 of the family's 1533-position model. The record is from RNAcentral.
GACGAACGCUGGCGGCGUGCCUAAUACAUGCAAGUAGAACGCACAGUUUAUACCGUAGCUUGCUACACCAUAAACUGUGAGUUGCGAACGGGUGAGUAACGCGUAGGUAACCUGCCUGGUAGCGGGGGAUAACUAUUGGAAACGAUAGCUAAUACCGCAUAAUAUUGAUUAUUGCAUGAUAAUUGAUUGAAAGAUGCUAUUGCAUCACUACCAGAUGGACCUGCGUUGUAUUAGCUAGUAGGUGAGGUAACGGCUCACCUAGGCGACGAUACAUAGCCGACCUGAGAGGGUGAUCGGCCACACUGGGACUGAGACACGGCCCAGACUCCUACGGGAGGCAGCAGUAGGGAAUCUUCGGCAAUGGACGAAAGUCUGACCAAGCAACGCCGCGUGAGUGAAGAAGGUUUUCGGAUCGUAAAGCUCUGUUGUAAGAGAAGAACGGGUGUGAGAGUGGAAAGUUCACACUGUGACGGUAUCUUACCAGAAAGGGACGGCUAACUACGUG